GACGAACGCUGGCGGCGUGCCUAAUACAUGCAAGUAGAACGCUGAAGGAGGAGCUUGCUUCUCCGGAUGAGUUGCGAACGGGUGAGUAACGCGUAGGUAACCUGCCUGGUAGCGGGGGAUAACUAUUGGAAACGAUAGCUAAUACCGCAUAACAGUAGAUGUUGCAUGACAUUUGCUUAAAAGGUGCAAUUGCAUCACUACCAGAUGGACCUGCGUUGUAUUAGCUAGUUGGUGAGGUAACGGCUCACCAAGGCGACGAUACAUAGCCGACCUGAGAGGGUGGUCGGCCACACUGGGACUGAGACACGGCCCAGACUCCUACGGGAGGCAGCAGUAGGGAAUCUUCGGCAAUGGACGGAAGUCUGACCGAGCAACGCCGCGUGAGUGAAGAAGGUUUUCGGAUCGUAAAGCUCUGUUGUAAGAGAAGAACGAGUGUGAGAGUGGAAAGUUCACACUGUGACGGUAGCUUACCAGAAAGGGACGGCUAACUACGUG
This 495-nucleotide ribosomal RNA is filed under the name uncultured bacterium. RNAcentral describes it as "partial 16S ribosomal RNA". It matches the Rfam family "Bacterial small subunit ribosomal RNA", at positions 28 to 507 of the family's 1533-position model. The record is from RNAcentral.